Molecule: transfer RNA, 87 nt
Filed under: Spirilliplanes yamanashiensis
Lineage: Bacteria; Bacillati; Actinomycetota; Actinomycetes; Micromonosporales; Micromonosporaceae
Description: tRNA-Ser
Source: RNAcentral
CCCGCCGGGGCGGCGGCGCCGCCGGCGGUGCUGCCGCCGGCGCCCGCCGGGGCGGAGCCGGUCGUCCGGCAGCCGGCCUGGUGGGGC